CCACCACCUCCGUACCUUGUUGGGGUAACCUGGUGAUCAUUCAUUGGCCCUUCUCAUUCUGGACCCUGUGGGGCACUGAGGGCUGCAUCAUCACAGUCCCGGCUUUGUGGAAACGUAGUGUAGUGAGGGAUACAGGUUUGCACACAAGGGGCAGAGAUGCCUGGAGGCACAGAUAGGCGGACGCUCUUGGCCAGGGGUGUGGACCGUGGAGACACAGAGCA
Molecule: long non-coding RNA, 221 nt
Filed under: Homo sapiens (human)
Lineage: Eukaryota; Metazoa; Chordata; Mammalia; Primates; Hominidae
Description: HSALNT0003624
Source: RNAcentral